Molecule: long non-coding RNA, 1575 nt
Organism: Pleuronectes platessa (European plaice)
Lineage: Eukaryota; Metazoa; Chordata; Actinopteri; Pleuronectiformes; Pleuronectidae
Exons: 4
Source: RefSeq, a predicted model, not a curated record
GUUAUAUGAGUUUUGUAAUGCUUUAUCUCUGUAUGGAGGACCGAACUUUUAGGCCCCUAGUUAACAUGCGCUCCAGGAGAUUAGUUACCGUCCUCCCUUGUCACACACACACUGACACUCACUGUAUCCCCACGUACUUAACACACUCACUUACUUCCAACAUAUCAUGCAGGCCAGCAGGAAGAGGAUGAGCCACAAAGGAGGCAGAUAAGGAGGAGGAAAGAGAAAAGAAAGAAGAGUCGAAUUAGGAUGAAGAUACGCAGCAUUAACCCGACAAACCUGUCCACACAGAGUCUCACUUGUGAGUCCGGGGAGAGAGGAGAGAGCGCUGAAUGAGUCAAUUAAGCUCCAGCACAUUUCUGAAUGAUCAGAUGUUUUCACAUGUGGAGAUGAAAACUUGUCUCUGCAUGAAAUAACCACUGAGGAUUAUCUAGAGGCCGGUUUUAAAAGCAGAUCUUGUCACUUGCACUGCACUCUGCUGUGAGAUGGAGUUCUUACCUUGCAGGAGGGUGUUCGACCUAACUGACCGGUGCAGAGAAGAGUUAGGAGCCCAGAGCCUCAGCCUCUCGUCCACAUGUCUGCUUUGUUGUCGCAGGACACAACUGGGCCUGAAACUGUUCAGGAACAAUGACCUCAGCAGCCUGCAUCCCCCGGACGUUCACACACCAUUAAGGAGAAUUAUUGGUGUGGGUCACUUGCUUACCGGGCUCCUGUUUCUGACCCCAAACCCGGACUCACUGCUCUCCCCUAAGAGACAGGACUUGGCUUUAUAAGAGGCAUCCCUCUCUCACUUUUACUCUUUCCCCCUCUCCCCCCCCCCCCCCCCCCCCCUCUCUCUCUCUCUCCCUCACUUCUGAAUUCCUGUUGUGUCCCGCUCACGUCUGGGUAAUUGCUGUAAUAACUGAUCGCCACUCCCUCCAGUCUCAAUUCACUUUCAGGAUAAUAAAAGUGACCACAAAGGCAUCAUAUUGGAGCCUCUGCAGAAUUUUGCCUCAAAGAGCCGGUGGGGGGGAGGUGUUUAAUAUUUUACGUUUUAUUUUUCAAACAUGUUUUGCUGCAUUUGUUGUUGCAUCACUCCUUCACUGAGUCCAAAGGAAGCAACACACGCACACACGCACAUGUUUGGGGGCCUCACAUGCACAUUGUCCACAAACUGCCGCAACAAACUACCCCCUGCAGCACACACAAACACACAAACACUCUUUUAGGGGGCACCACAGAGCCCUCUAUUCAUUGCGCCUGUGCCCGGCCUUUGCUGUUUCCAAGCGCGUCUGCACGGAGCGUCCUGUGAAGCUCAAACACAUGAAGAGGGACAUCCGUGAGGUGAAUACCGCCCCUCAUUCUGCCUCAGGAGAGGGUGACAAAGCAUUAUUUAACUGAAAGAGGAAGAAGUGGAUGGAGUCGAUGAGGGCCAAUGGUCAAACGUGCUAAAGAGUCCCUGGAACUCCAUCCUCAGAACUGGAGCUCUUGAUCAAUAGCACUUCUGUGAGAGGCUGUGAAGAUGGUCGUCGAUAUGGACGAGCCAUGCAUCAGGGGCCCCAGCAAAGUCAAGCCGACCAAUCAGCGAAGAGAGAG